This is a non-coding RNA of Macaca mulatta (Rhesus monkey), 52 nucleotides long. NCBI's taxonomy places the organism in Eukaryota, Metazoa, Chordata, Mammalia, Primates, Cercopithecidae. The record is from Rfam.
UUUUUUGUAUAAGUAUAUCCCAUGCAAUAUUUGGGAUAUACUUAUCCUAAAA